RNAcentral lists this unclassified non-coding RNA (250 nucleotides) under plant metagenome. Its description in RNAcentral is "partial contains small subunit ribosomal RNA, internal transcribed spacer 1, and 5.8S ribosomal RNA". The stretch from base 1 to 53 matches the Rfam family "Eukaryotic small subunit ribosomal RNA", at positions 1779 to 1831 of the family's 1831-position model. The record is from RNAcentral.
GGAGUAAAAGUCGUAACAAGGUCUCCGUAGGUGAACCUGCGGAGGGAUCAUUACAGAGUUCAUGCCCUACCGGGUAGAUCUCCCACCCUAUGUUAUUAUUACUUUGUUGCUUUGGCGGGCCGUUAGGCUCCGGCCCGACUACCGGCCCCGGCUGGUAAGCGCCCGCCAGAGGACCCAAAACCCUGAAUAUUAGUGUCGUCUGAGUACUAUAUAAUAGUUAAAACUUUCAACAACGGAUCUCUUGGUUCUG